Molecule: ribosomal RNA, 405 nt
Filed under: Leptopisa setirostris
Lineage: Eukaryota; Metazoa; Arthropoda; Malacostraca; Decapoda; Majidae
Description: partial 16S ribosomal RNA
Rfam family: Bacterial large subunit ribosomal RNA
Source: RNAcentral
CAUAAUCAUUAGUUUUUUAAUUGAAAACUUGUAUGAAUGGUUGGACAAAGGAAUCCCUGUCUAUUAACUAAAUAUUGAACUUAACUUUUAAGUGAAAAGGCUUAAAUUUCUUAAGGGGACGAUAAGACCCUAUAAAGCUUUAUAAUAAAGUACUAAUUUUUAAAAUAUCUAAAAUAAAAGAAAUUAUUAUUUCCUUAUUUUGUUGGGGCGAUUCAGAUAAAAAUAUAAUUAACUGUCAAAGUAAAAUACAUAUAUUUAUGAAAUUAAUGAUCCUUAAUUUAAGAUUAAAAGAUAAAGUUACUUUAGGGAUAACAGCGUUAUUUCUUUUAAGAGUCCAUAUUGAAAAAGAAGUUUGCGACCUCGAUGUUGAAUUAAAAUAUCUUCACAGUGCAGCCGUUGUGAUCA